RNAcentral lists this ribosomal RNA (1596 nucleotides) under Salmonella enterica subsp. enterica serovar Poona. RNAcentral's name for it is "partial 23S ribosomal RNA". It matches the Rfam family "Bacterial large subunit ribosomal RNA", at positions 1224 to 2802 of the family's 2925-position model. Lineage: Bacteria; Pseudomonadati; Pseudomonadota; Gammaproteobacteria; Enterobacterales; Enterobacteriaceae. The record is from RNAcentral.
UUGGGUAGGGGAGCGUUCUGUAAGCCUGUGAAGGUGGCCUGUGAGGGUUGCUGGAGGUAUCAGAAGUGCGAAUGCUGACAUAAGUAACGAUAAAGCGGGUGAAAAGCCCGCUCGCCGGAAGACCAAGGGUUCCUGUCCAACGUUAAUCGGGGCAGGGUGAGUCGACCCCUAAGGCGAGGCCGAAAGGCGUAGUCGAUGGGAAACGGGUUAAUAUUCCCGUACUUGGUGUUACUGCGAAGGGGGGACGGAGAAGGCUAUGUUGGCCGGGCGACGGUUGUCCCGGUUUAAGCGUGUAGGUGUGUGUUCCAGGUAAAUCCGGUUCACUUUAACACUGAGGCGUGAUGACGAGGCACUACGGUGCUGAAGCAACAAAUGCCCUGCUUCCAGGAAAAGCCUCUAAGCAUCAGGUAACAUCAAAUCGUACCCCAAACCGACACAGGUGGUCAGGUAGAGAAUACCAAGGCGCUUGAGAGAACUCGGGUGAAGGAACUAGGCAAAAUGGUGCCGUAACUUCGGGAGAAGGCACGCUGACAUGUAGGUGAAGUGAUUUACUCAUGGAGCUGAAGUCAGUCGAAGAUACCAGCUGGCUGCAACUGUUUAUUAAAAACACAGCACUGUGCAAACACGAAAGUGGACGUAUACGGUGUGACGCCUGCCCGGUGCCGGAAGGUUAAUUGAUGGGGUCAGCGCAAGCGAAGCUCCUGAUCGAAGCCCCGGUAAACGGCGGCCGUAACUAUAACGGUCCUAAGGUAGCGAAAUUCCUUGUCGGGUAAGUUCCGACCUGCACGAAUGGCGUAAUGAUGGCCAGGCUGUCUCCACCCGAGACUCAGUGAAAUUGAACUCGCUGUGAAGAUGCAGUGUACCCGCGGCAAGACGGAAAGACCCCGUGAACCUUUACUAUAGCUUGACACUGAACAUUGAGCCUUGAUGUGUAGGAUAGGUGGGAGGCUUUGAAGUGUGGACGCCAGUCUGCAUGGAGCCGACCUUGAAAUACCACCCUUUAAUGUUUGAUGUUCUAACGUGGACCCGUAAUCCGGGUUGCGGACAGUGUCUGGUGGGUAGUUUGACUGGGGCGGUCUCCUCCUAAAGAGUAACGGAGGAGCACGAAGGUUGGCUAAUCCUGGUCGGACAUCAGGAGGUUAGUGCAAUGGCAUAAGCCAGCUUGACUGCGAGCGUGACGGCGCGAGCAGGUGCGAAAGCAGGUCAUAGUGAUCCGGUGGUUCUGAAUGGAAGGGCCAUCGCUCAACGGAUAAAAGGUACUCCGGGGAUAACAGGCUGAUACCGCCCAAGAGUUCAUAUCGACGGCGGUGUUUGGCACCUCGAUGUCGGCUCAUCACAUCCUGGGGCUGAAGUAGGUCCCAAGGGUAUGGCUGUUCGCCAUUUAAAGUGGUACGCGAGCUGGGUUUAGAACGUCGUGAGACAGUUCGGUCCCUAUCUGCCGUGGGCGCUGGAGAACUGAGGGGGGCUGCUCCUAGUACGAGAGGACCGGAGUGGACGCAUCACUGGUGUUCGGGUUGUCAUGCCAAUGGCACUGCCCGGUAGCUAAAUGCGGAAGAGAUAAGUGCUGAAAGCAUCUAAGCACGAAACUUGCCCCGA